This 489-nucleotide ribosomal RNA is filed under the name uncultured bacterium. RNAcentral describes it as "partial 16S ribosomal RNA". It matches the Rfam family "Bacterial small subunit ribosomal RNA", at positions 30 to 507 of the family's 1533-position model. The record is from RNAcentral.
UUGAACGCUGGCGGCAGGCCUAACACAUGCAAGUCGAACGGUAACAGGAAGCAGCUUGCUGCUUUGCUCACGAGUGGCGGACGGGUGAGUAAUGUCUGGGAAACUGCCCGAUGGAGGGGGAUAACUACUGGAAACGGUAGCUAAUACCGCAUAACGUCGCAAGACCAAAGAGGGGGACCUUAGGGCCUCUUGCCAUCGGAUGUGCCCAGAUGGGAUUAGCUAGUAGGUGGGGUAACGGCUCACCUAGGCGACGAUCCCUAGCUGGUCUGAGAGGAUGACCAGCCACACUGGAACUGAGACACGGUCCAGACUCCUACGGGAGGCAGCAGUGGGGAAUAUUGCACAAUGGGCGCAAGCCUGAUGCAGCCAUGCCGCGUGUAUGAAGAAGGCCUUCGGGUUGUAAAGUACUUUCAGCGGGGAGGAAGGGAGUAAAGUUAAUACCUUUGCUCGUUGACGUUACCCGCAGAAGAAGCACCGGCUAACUCCGUG